GGUUUGUCGCGUCGUCUGUGAAAUUCCGGGGCUUACUCCGGGCGUGCAGGCGAUACGGGCAUAACUUGAGUACUGUAGGGGUAACUGGAAUUCCUGGUGUAGCGGUGAAAUGCGCAGAUAUCAGGAGGAACACCGAUGGCGAAGGCAGGUUACUGGGCAGUUACUGACGCUGAGGAGCGAAAGCAUGGGUAGCGAACAGGAUUAGAUACCCUGGUAGUCCAUGCCGUAAACGGUGGGCGCUAGGUGUGAGGGUCUUUUCACGACUUUCGUGCCGUAGCUAACGCAUUAAGCGCCCCGCCUGGGGAGUACGGCCGCAAGGCUAAAACUCAAAGGAAUUGACGGGGGCCCGCACAAGCGGCGGAGCAUGUGGAUUAAUUCGAUGCAACGCGAAGAACCUUACCUGGGCUUGACAUACACUGGAUCGGGCUAGAGAUAGUCUUUCCCUUUGUGGCUGGUGUACAGGUGGUGCAUGGUUGUCGUCAGCUCGUGUCGUGAGAUGUUGGGUUAAGUCCCGCAACGAGCGCAACCCUCGUCUUAUGUUGCCAGCAUUUGGUUGGGGACUCAUGAGAGACUGCCGGGGUCAACUCGGAGGAAGGUGGGGAUGACGUCAAAUCAUCAUGCCCCUUAUGUCCAGGGCUUCACACAUGCUACAAUGGUCGGUACAACGCGCAGCGACACUGUGAGGUGGAGCGAAUCGCUGAAAGCCGGCCUUAGUUCGGAUUGGGGUCUGCAACUCGACCCCAUGAAGUCGGAGUCGCUAGUAAU
This 765-nucleotide ribosomal RNA is filed under the name uncultured bacterium. RNAcentral describes it as "bacterial SSU rRNA". It matches the Rfam family "Bacterial small subunit ribosomal RNA", at positions 577 to 1342 of the family's 1533-position model. The record is from RNAcentral.